CAUGCAAGUCGUACGAGAGUCUUUGACUCAAGUGGCGGACGGGUGAGUAACACGUAAGAAUUUGCCUUUAGGAGGGGGACAACAACUGGGAACGGUUGCUAAUACCCCAUAUGCUUUCGAGUGAAAUGGAUUUUUCCGCCUAGAGAGAAGCUUGCGGCUGAUUAGCUUGUUGGUGAGGUAAUGGCUCACCAAGGCGACGAUCAGUAUCUGGUUUGAGAGGACGAUCAGACACACUGGAACUGAGACACGGUCCAGACCCCUACGGGAGGCAGCAGUGGGGAAUUUUCCGCAAUGGGCGAAAGCCUGACGGAGCAAUCUCGCGUGAGGGAUGACUGCCUAUGGGUUGUAAACCUCUUUUUUCAGGGAGGAAUAAAUGACGUGUACCUGAAGAAUAAGCAUCGGCUAACUCCGUGCCAGCAGCCGCGGUAAUACGGAGGAUGCAAGUGUUAUCCGGAAUCACUGGGCGUAAAGCGUCUGUAGGUGGUUUAAUAAGUCAACUGUUAAAUCUUGAGGCUCAACUUCAAAAUCGCAGUCGAAACUAUUAGACUAGAGUAUAGUAGGGGUAAAGGGAAUUUCCAGUGGAGCGGUGAAAUGCGUAGAGAUUGGAAAGAACACCGAUGGCGAAGGCACUUUACUGGGCUAUUACUAACA
RNAcentral lists this ribosomal RNA (651 nucleotides) under uncultured bacterium. RNAcentral's name for it is "bacterial SSU rRNA". It matches the Rfam family "Bacterial small subunit ribosomal RNA", at positions 54 to 745 of the family's 1533-position model. The record is from RNAcentral.